This 618-nucleotide ribosomal RNA is filed under the name uncultured bacterium. Its description in RNAcentral is "bacterial SSU rRNA". It matches the Rfam family "Bacterial small subunit ribosomal RNA", at positions 338 to 950 of the family's 1533-position model. The record is from RNAcentral.
CCUACGGGAGGCAGCAGUGGGGAAUUUUGGACAAUGGGCGAAAGCCUGAUCCAGCAAUGCCGCGUGAGUGAAGAAGGCCUUCGGGUUGUAAAGCUCUUUUGUCAGGGAAGAAACGGUGAGAGCUAAUAUCUCUUGCUAAUGACGGUACCUGAAGAAUAAGCACCGGCUAACUACGUGCCAGCAGCCGCGGUAAUACGUAGGGUGCAAGCGUUAAUCGGAAUUACUGGGCGUAAAGCGUGCGCAGGCGGUUUUGUAAGUCUGAUGUGAAAUCCCCGGGCUCAACCUGGGAAUUGCAUUGGAGACUGCAAGGCUAGAAUCUGGCAGAGGGGGGUAGAAUUCCACGUGUAGCAGUGAAAUGCGUAGAUAUGUGGAGGAACACCGAUGGCGAAGGCAGCCCCCUGGGUCAAGAUUGACGCUCAUGCACGAAAGCGUGGGGAGCAAACAGGAUUAGAUACCCUGGUAGUCCACGCCCUAAACGAUGUCUACUAGUUGUCGGGUCUUAAUUGACUUGGUAACGCAGCUAACGCGUGAAGUAGACCGCCUGGGGAGUACGGUCGCAAGNUUAAAACGUCAAAUGAAUUGACGGNUGAGAGNGCGAGGACGACGACGAGGGAGAGG